GCCCUUUCAUCUCCAGCGCUGGGCCCUUUCAUCUCCAGCACUGGGCCUUUACAUCUCCAGCGCUGGACCUUUACUUGUCCAGCACUGGGCCUUUACAUCUCCAGUGCUGGGCCCUUACAUCUCCAGAGCUGGGCCCUUUCAUCUCCAGCGCUGGGCCCUUUCAUCUCCAGCGCCGGGCCCUUAACAUCUCCAGCGCCGGGCCCUUUCAUCUCCAGCGCCGGGCCCUUACAUCUCCAGCGCCGGGCCCUUAACAUCUCCAGCGCCGGGCUCUUUCAUCUCCAGCGCCGGGCCCUUACAUCUCCAGCGCCGGGCCCUUACAUCUCCAGCGCCGGGCCCUUUCAUCUCCAGCGCCGGGCCCUUUCAUCUCCAGCGCCGGGCCCUUAACAUCUCCAGCGCCGGGCCCUUUCAUCUCCAGCGCCGGGCCCUUAACAUCUCCAGCGCCGGGCCCUUAACAUCUCCAGCGCCGGGCCCUUAACAUCUCCAGCGCCGGGCCCUUAACAUCUCCAGCGCCGGGCCCUUUCAUCUCCAGCGCCGGGCCUUUACAUCUCCAGCGCCGGGCCUUUACAUCUCCAGAGCUGGGCCUUUACAUCUCCAGGGCUGGGCCCUUAAAUCUCCAGCACUGGGCCUUUAUAUCUCCAGCGCUGGGCCCUUCACAACUCCAGCGCUGGGCCCUUCACAUCUCCAGCGCUGGGCCCUUCACGUCUCCAGCGCUGGGUCCUUCACAUCUCCAGCACUGGGCCUUCACAUCUCCAGGGCUGGGCCCUUAAAUCUCCAGCACUGGGCCUUUAUAUCUCCAGCAGCAAUAUAAAGCCGAGGACCCAGCAAGUGUUCACCUCUGGAGAAUUUGAUGAAUUCUAUGCAUCUGAAAGGCCUCCGAUGCUUAAGACCUUUUUUUUCUUUUCAAGUCUCGAACAUUUAUUGAACACGUAUAUGUGCCAAGCGCUAUUCUCAAACUGCCCCAUGAGGAAUGGACCACAGAGCUCCAUUUUACAGAUGAAAGAAACCAAGGCUUCAAAAGGAAGCUACACUGAAGCAGAAAGAACUAGUGGUACCCCUGGAAGCCACACCUGCUCUUCCUAUGCUCCAGGGCUCUGUGCCAUUCCUGCAGCUUGAGCCAGGAGGAAUGUUUGCAAGGAUACCAGCCAUUUUGCCAAUGUGCACAGUUUUUCUUUAGUCAUUACUGGAGGAGACUGACUUUCUUCUGUUUCAAAUAUCUAAAGAUCACUUUCAGAGCAAACUGAGAGUAAACUAACUGGAUGGGCUAAUCCUACCUUGGAUCCUCCUCUGCCAUUUCAUUGUUAGAAUCAAUUUCUGCAGGAGUAUUUCACAUAUUUUACUGUCAGUGUCUCUGCAAACCCAACACAUUAUGGAGGAGAGAGCAAGCCUCUGAAGCCAGACACACCUGAGAUUAAAUCCUGGUUCUGCCAUUUUAUUAGCCAUGUGACUUUAAAAGGUUACUUAAUCUCUCAGGGCCUUGAUUUCCUCAUCUGUAAAAUUGGAAGCCACAUUCUCUAAAAGGACCAGCAAGCAACAAUUUUAAAGAAAGGAGAGGCCAGGCACGGUGGCUCACGCCUGUAAUCCCAGC
RNAcentral lists this long non-coding RNA (1585 nucleotides) under Homo sapiens (human). RNAcentral describes it as "HSALNT0354342". Lineage: Eukaryota; Metazoa; Chordata; Mammalia; Primates; Hominidae. The record is from RNAcentral.